UUACUCUAUUUUAAUUUUUGUAGCACUGGGGACAGUGCAAUGAUUUUUAGUUAGGGGUAGGGUUAUUCCAAAAAAUUUAGGAGCAGUUGAAAAGAAAGAUGUAGCUAAAACUGAAAGUCUGUUAUGACUUAUAGGUUUGAUGCAGGCAGUUGAGAUAGGGAAUAGAUCAGCGCGUCUAUAGCAGCGGAUGAUUUUUUUAUUAUG
This 204-nucleotide long non-coding RNA is filed under the name Capsicum annuum. RNAcentral describes it as "long non-coding RNA (CANN_LNC009920)". The record is from RNAcentral. Lineage: Eukaryota; Viridiplantae; Streptophyta; Magnoliopsida; Solanales; Solanaceae.